Molecule: long non-coding RNA, 385 nt
Filed under: Homo sapiens (human)
Lineage: Eukaryota; Metazoa; Chordata; Mammalia; Primates; Hominidae
Description: lncAB272.1
Source: RNAcentral
CCCCAACUAAACUGGCCAGGCGCACUUAAAAUUCUAAGGCCUCCAUUUGAAAAAGGGAUCCUGUCAGUUUCUCAAUAGGCCACCCGCCCACAGAAACGGGGAGGUGGCGACAGGGAACGGCCCCUGCUCCAAAGGACACCCCUUGGCUCGCCCCGAGGCUGGGCUCGAAGGGACCCCGGGGUGGCGGGGGACGGAGCAGCGUAGCCCUCCAGAGUCGAGCUGAAGGGGAAAGGGUAGCGGGUGGGUCGCCUGGUGUCCUGGAAGAACGGGGCGCGAGUCCCCCGCGCUGAGUCAGGGACCCCGGGCGCAGAAGGCCACGCAGCGGGGACCGGGGUCGGGGGGCUGGGGGCGUCCGGGGACCCCCGCGCGGGUGCGGGUCGCGGGC